RNAcentral lists this transfer RNA (71 nucleotides) under Loxodonta africana (African savanna elephant). It matches the Rfam family "tRNA". Rfam says of the family: Transfer RNA (tRNA) molecules are approximately 80 nucleotides in length. Their secondary structure includes four short double-helical elements and three loops (D, anti-codon, and T loops). Lineage: Eukaryota; Metazoa; Chordata; Mammalia; Proboscidea; Elephantidae. The record is from Rfam by way of RNAcentral.
GCAGUGGUGGUUCACUGGUGGAAUUCUCGCCUUCCAUGCAGGAGACCUGGGUUUGAUUCCCGGUCAGUACA